This 460-nucleotide ribosomal RNA is filed under the name uncultured bacterium. Its description in RNAcentral is "partial 16S ribosomal RNA". It matches the Rfam family "Bacterial small subunit ribosomal RNA", at positions 338 to 795 of the family's 1533-position model. The record is from RNAcentral.
CCUACGGGUGGCAGCAGUGAGGAAUAUUGGUCAAUGGCCGGAAGGCUGAACCAGCCAUGCCGCGUGAAGGUCAGUGCCCUAUGGGCGUUAAACUUCUUUUGUGCGGGAGCAAUAAUGGUCACGUGUGGCCAGACGAGAGUACCGUACGAAUAAGCAUCGGCUAACUCCGUGCCAGCAGCCGCGGUAAUACGGGGGGUGCGAGCGUUAGCCGGAUUUAUUGGGUUUGAAGGGUGCGUGGGCUGUGAGGUAAGUCAGCGGUGAAAUGCCCCCGGUCAACGGGGUGAAGUGCAAUUGAUACUGCCUUGCUGGAAUGCGGAUGAAGUAGGAGGAAUGUGUGGUGUAGCGGUGAAAUGCAUAGAUAUCACACAGAACACCGAUUGCGAAGGCAUCUCGCGAAUCCGCGAUUGACGCUGAUGCACGAAAGCGUGGGUAUCAAACAGGAUUAGAUACCCGGGUAGUA